GAUGAACGCUGGCGGCGUGCCUAAUACAUGCAAGUCGAGCGAACGGACGAGAAGCUUGCUUUUCUGAUGUUAGCGGCGGACGGGUGAGUAACACGUGGAUAACCUACCUAUAAGACUGGGAUAACUUCGGGAAACCGGAGCUAAUACCGGAUAAUAUUUUGAACCGCAUGGUUCAAAAGUGAAAGACGGUCUCGCUGUCACUUAUAGAUGGAUCCGCGCUGCAUUAGCUAGUUGGUAAGGUAACGGCUUACCAAGGCAACGAUGCAUAGCCGACCUGAGAGGGUGGUCCGCCAGCCUGGAACUGAGACACGGUCCAGACUCCUACGGGAGGCAGCAGUAGGGAAUCUUCCGCAAUGGGCGAAAGCCUGACGGAGCAACGCCGCGUGAGUGAUGAAGGUCUUCGGAUCGUAAAACUCUGUUAUUAGGGAAGAACAUAUGUGUAAGUACCUGUGCACAUCUUGACGGUACCUAAUCAGAAAGCCACGGCUAACUACGUG
Molecule: ribosomal RNA, 497 nt
Filed under: uncultured bacterium
Lineage: Bacteria
Description: partial 16S ribosomal RNA
Rfam family: Bacterial small subunit ribosomal RNA
Source: RNAcentral